This 1477-nucleotide ribosomal RNA is filed under the name uncultured Bordetella sp. Its description in RNAcentral is "partial 16S-23S ribosomal RNA intergenic spacer". It matches the Rfam family "Bacterial small subunit ribosomal RNA". The record is from RNAcentral. Lineage: Bacteria; Pseudomonadati; Pseudomonadota; Betaproteobacteria; Burkholderiales; Alcaligenaceae.
UUCGAUUAUAGCUCAGAUUGAACGUUGGCGGGAUGCUUUACACAUGCAAGUCGAACGGCAGCACGGACUUCGGUCUGGUGGCGAGUGGCGAACGGGUGAGUAAUGUAUCGGAACGUGCCUAGUAGCGGGGGAUAACUACGCGAAAGCGUAGCUAAUGCCACAUACGCCCUUCGGGGGAAAGCGGGGGACCUUCGGGCCUCGCACUAUUAGAGCGGCCGAUAUCGGAUUAGCUAGUUGGUGGGGUAACAGCUCCGCAAGGCGACGAUCCGUAGCUGGUUUGAGAGGACGACCAGCCACACUGGGACUGAGACCUGGCCCGAACUCCUACGGGAGGCAGCAGUGGGGAAUUUUGGACAAUGGGGGAAACCUGAUCAGCCAUCCCGCGUGUGCGAUGAAGGCCUUCGGGUUGUAAAGCACUUUUGGCAGGAGAGGAAAGAAACGGCACGGGAUAAUACCCCGUGCAGCUGACAGUACCUGCAGAAUAAGCACCGGCUAACUACGUGCCAGCAGCCGCGGUAAUACGUAGGGUGCAAGCGUUAAUCGGAAUUACUGGGCGUAAAGCGUGCGCAGGCGGUUCGGAAAGAAAGAUGUGAAAUCCCAGAGCUUAACGUUGGAACUGCAUUUUAACUACCGAAGGCAAGUGUGUCAGAGGAGGUGGAAUUCCGCGUGUAGCAGUGAAAUGCGUAGAUAUGCCGGAGGAACACCGAUGGCGAAGGCAGCCUCCUGGGAUAACACUGACGCUCAUGCACGAAAAGCGUGGGGGAGCAAACAGGAUUAGAUACCCUGGUAGUCCACGCCUAAACGAUGUCAACUAGCUGUUGGGGCCUUCGGGCCUUGGUAGCGCAGCUAACGCGUGAAGUUGACCGCCUGGGAGUACGGUCGCAAGAUUAAAACUCAAAGGAAUUGACGGGGACCCGCACAAGCGGUGGAUGAUGUGGAUUAAUUCGAUGCAACGCGAAAAACCUUACCUACCCUUGACAUCACAGAAUCCCGAAGAGAUUUGGGAGUGCUCGCAAGAGAACCGGAACACAGGUGCUGCAUGGCUGUCGUCAGCUCGUGUCGUGAGGUGUUGGGUUGAUCCGCAACAGGCGCAACCCUUGUCAUUAGUUGCUGAAGGCAUCUAAUGAGACUGCCGGUGACAAACCGGAGGAAGGUGGGGAUGACGUCAAGUCCUCAUGGCCCUUAUGGGUAGGGCUUCACACGUCAUACAAUGGUCGGGACAGAGGGUCGCCCGCCCGCGAGAGGCCAAUCCCAGAAGCCGAUCGUAGUCCGGAUCGCAGUCUGCAGCUCGACUGCGUGAAGUCGGAAUCGCUAGUAAUCGCGGAUCAGCAUGUCGCGGUGAAUACGUUCGGGUCUUGUACACACCGCCCGUCACACCAUGGGAGUGGGUUUUACAGAAGUAGUUAGCCUAACCGUAAGGAGGGGGAGCGAUUACCACGGUAGGAUUCAUGACUGGGGUGAAGUCGUAACAAGGUAA